CUUAGGACCCCUCCCUCCAGAGGCUGCCCUUUGGUCCCUUCUGGUGGCCCCCGAGUACUCCCUCAGCAUGAACUGCAUAGCAGACUUCUUCACCUAUGAGACCACCAAGUCAGUGGUUGUGAAGAGCUGGACCAUUGGGAUCAUCAACCGAGCCGUUCAGCUUCUGAUCAUCUCCUACUUUGUGGGGUGGGUUUUCCUGCACGAGAAGGCAUACCAGGUCCGGGAAACAGCCAUCGAGUCCUCUGUGGUCACCAAGGUGAAAGGCUUCGGACGCUAUGCCAACAAAAUCAUGGAUGUGUCUGAUUUUGUGACCCCACCCCAGGGCAGCUCUGUCUUUGUCAUCAUCACCAAGAUGAUAGUGACUGAAAACCAAAUGCAAGGAGUCUGCCCAGAGAGCGAGGAGAAGUACAGCUGUGUGUCAGACAGCCAGUGCCAGGCCGAGCGUGUUGCCAGCGGGGGGAUCCUCACUGGCCACUGCGUGAACUACACCUCGGAGCUGCGCACCUGUGAGAUCCAGGGCUGGUGUCCUGCCGAGGUGGACACGGUGGAAAAACCUAUCAUGAUCGAAGUCGAGAACUUCACUAUCUUCAUCAAGAACAACAUCCGGUUCCCCCUCUUCAACUUUGAAAAGGGGAACCUCCUUCCCAACAUGACAGCCGCUGAAAUCAGGUCCUGCCGUUUCCACCCGGACAGUGCCCCCUACUGCCCUAUCCUGAAAGUGGGCGACGUGGUCAAGUUUGCAGGGCAGGAUUUUGCCAGACUGGCCAGCACGGGCGGAGUCCUGGGCAUUAAGAUCGCUUGGGUGUGCGACCUGGACAAGUCCUGGGACCUGUGCACCCCCAAGUACACCUUCACCCGGCUUGAUGGCCUUUCUCAGAAGAGCAGGAUCUCCCCAGGCUACAACUUCAGGUUCGCCAAGUACUACAAGACGGAGAAUGGCCAAGAGUACCGCACCCUGCUGAAGGUUUACGGCAUCCGCUUCGACGUGCUGGUGUACGGCAACGUGAGCUGGCAAGUUCAACAUCAUUCCCACCAUCAUCAGUGCCGUGGCGGCCUUCACCUCCGUGGGCGUGGGCACUGUCCUCUGUGACAUCAUCUUGCUCAACUUCCUCAAGGGGGCUGACCACUACAAAGCCAGGAAGUUCGAGGAGGUGAACGAGACGAUGCUGAAGGUGGCAGCCUCACCCAACCCAAUGUACUGCAGAGACCAGACCACGGAGGAGAAACAGUCCACGGACUCGGGGGCCUACUCCAUGGGCCAUUAGUGCCUCUGCCCAGGGCCCCACGCUGACCCGCUGGCUCCAGGCCUCCCCACUGAGGACCCUGUCUCAUCACAUCAG
Elephantulus edwardii (Cape elephant shrew) is the source of this 1340-nucleotide RNA transcript. It is a transcript of the gene named purinergic receptor P2X, ligand-gated ion channel, 3, with no coding region annotated. The transcript is spliced from 13 exons. The record is from RefSeq and is a predicted model, not a curated record. Lineage: Eukaryota; Metazoa; Chordata; Mammalia; Macroscelidea; Macroscelididae.